This 440-nucleotide ribosomal RNA is filed under the name uncultured bacterium. Its description in RNAcentral is "partial 16S ribosomal RNA". It matches the Rfam family "Bacterial small subunit ribosomal RNA", at positions 338 to 795 of the family's 1533-position model. The record is from RNAcentral.
CCUACGGGAGGCAGCAGUGGGGAAUAUUGCACAAUGGGGGAAACCCUGAUGCAGCGACGCCGCGUGAGUGAAGAAGUAAUUCGUUAUGUAAAGCUCUAUCAGCAGGGAAGAAACUGACCGUACCUGAGGAAGAAGCCCCGGCUAACUACGUGCCAGCAGCCGCGGUAAUACGUCGGGGGCCAGCGUUAUCCGGAUUUACUGGGUGUAAAGGGAGCGUAGACGGCAGUGCAAGUCUGGUGUGAAAGGCGGGGGCUCAACCCCCGGCUUGCUGUGGAAACUGGACGGCUGGAGUGCAGGGGAGGUAGGUGGAAUUCCUAGGGUAGCGGUGAAAUGCGUAGAUAUUAGGAGGAACACCAGUGGCGAAGGCGGCUUGCUGGAGUGUAACUGACGUUGAGGCUCGAAAGCGUGGGGAGCGAACAGGAUUAGAUACCCCUGUAGUC